This 87-nucleotide transfer RNA is filed under the name Klebsiella phage KP13-26. RNAcentral's name for it is "tRNA-Leu". It matches the Rfam family "tRNA". Rfam says of the family: Transfer RNA (tRNA) molecules are approximately 80 nucleotides in length. Their secondary structure includes four short double-helical elements and three loops (D, anti-codon, and T loops). Further hydrogen bonds mediate the characteristic L-shaped molecular structure. tRNAs have two regions of fundamental functional importance: the anti-codon, which is responsible for specific mRNA codon recognition, and the 3' end, to which the tRNAs corresponding amino acid is attached (by aminoacyl-tRNA synthetases). tRNAs cope with the degeneracy of the genetic code in two manners: having more than one tRNA (with a specific anti-codon) for a particular amino acid; and 'wobble' base-pairing, i.e. permitting non-standard base-pairing at the 3rd anti-codon position. Lineage: Duplodnaviria; Heunggongvirae; Uroviricota; Caudoviricetes. The record is from RNAcentral.
GCUUCAGUGGUGGAAAUGGAUAUACACUCUGGUCUUAGAAGCCAGCGCCCUAGAGGAUUGUGAGUUCGAGUCUCACCUGAAGCACCA